Molecule: ribosomal RNA, 496 nt
Filed under: uncultured bacterium
Lineage: Bacteria
Description: partial 16S ribosomal RNA
Rfam family: Bacterial small subunit ribosomal RNA
Source: RNAcentral
UUGAACGCUGGCGGCAGGCCUAACACAUGCAAGUCGAGCGCGAAAGGUUUUCGGACUGAGUAAAGCGGCGGACGGGUGAGUAACGCGUGGGAAUCUGCCCAGUAGUGGGGGACAACAGUCGGAAACGACUGCUAAUACCGCAUACGCCCUACGGGGGAAAGGGGGGGAUCUUCGGACCUCUCGCUAUUGGAUGAGCCCGCGUCGGAUUAGCUAGUUGGUAGGGUAAAGGCCUACCAAGGCUACGAUCCGUAACUGGUCUGAGAGGAUGAUCAGUCACACUGGAACUGAGACACGGUCCAGACUCCUACGGGAGGCAGCAGUGGGGAAUAUUGGACAAUGGGGGCAACCCUGAUCCAGCCAUGCCGCGUGUGUGAAGAAGGCCUUAGGGUUGUAAAGCACUUUCAGUGGGGAGAAAGGUUUGUCACCUAAUACGUGAUGAAAUUGAUGUUACCCACAGAAGAAGCACCGGCUAACUCCGUGCCAGCAGCCGCAGUAA